RNAcentral lists this ribosomal RNA (253 nucleotides) under uncultured bacterium. Its description in RNAcentral is "partial 16S ribosomal RNA". It matches the Rfam family "Bacterial small subunit ribosomal RNA", at positions 524 to 776 of the family's 1533-position model. The record is from RNAcentral.
UACGAAGGGGGCUAGCGUUGCUCGGAAUCACUGGGCGUAAAGGGUGCGUAGGCGGGUUUUUAAGUCAGGGGUGAAAUCCUGGAGCUCAACUCCAGAACUGCCUUUGAUACUGAAGAUCUUGAGUCCGGGAGAGGUGAGUGGAACUGCGAGUGUAGAGGUGAAAUUCGUAGAUAUUCGCAAGAACACCAGUGGCGAAGGCGGCUCACUGGCCCGGUACUGACGCUGAGACGCGAAAGCGUGGGGAGCAAACAGG